UACGUAGGGGGCAAGCGUUAUCCGGAUUUACUGGGUGUAAAGGGAGCGUAGACGGCCUUGCAAGUCUGGUGUGAAGGCCCGGGGCUCAACCCCGGGACUGCAUUGGAAACUGCAUGGCUGGAGUGCAGGAGAGGUAAGCGGAAUUCCUAGUGUAGCGGUGAAAUGCGUAGAUAUUAGGAGGAACACCAGUGGCGAAGGCGGCUUACUGGACUGUAACUGACGUUGAGGCUCGAAAGCGUGGGGAGCAAACAGG
This 253-nucleotide ribosomal RNA is filed under the name uncultured bacterium. Its description in RNAcentral is "partial 16S ribosomal RNA". It matches the Rfam family "Bacterial small subunit ribosomal RNA", at positions 524 to 776 of the family's 1533-position model. The record is from RNAcentral.